RNAcentral lists this transfer RNA (64 nucleotides) under Glycera cf. tridactyla FS19. Its description in RNAcentral is "tRNA-Thr". The record is from RNAcentral. Lineage: Eukaryota; Metazoa; Annelida; Polychaeta; Phyllodocida; Glyceridae.
GCUUGUAAAGCUAAAAAUUAGCGUCGGUCUUGUAAACCGAAGGUUGGGCUCUUCCCUACAUGCU